AGUGAACGCUGGCGGUAGGCCUAACACAUGCAAGUCGAACGGCAGCACAGUAAGAGCUUGCUCUUACGGGUGGCGAGUGGCGGACGGGUGAGGAAUACAUCGGAAUCUACUUUUUCGUGGGGGAUAACGUAGGGAAACUUACGCUAAUACCGCAUACGACCUACGGGUGAAAGCAGGGGAUCUUCGGACCUUGCGCGAUUGAAUGAGCCGAUGUCGGAUUAGCUAGUUGGCGGGGUAAAGGCCCACCAAGGCGACGAUCCGUAGCUGGUCUGAGAGGAUGAUCAGCCACACUGAACUGAGACACGGUCCAGACUCCUACGGGAGGCAGCAGUGGGGAAUAUUGGACAAUGGGGGCAAGCCUGAUCCAGCCAUACCGCGUGGGUGAAGAAGGCCUUCGGGUUGUAAAGCCCUUUUGUUGGGAAAGAACAGCAGCAGGUUAAUACCCCGCUGUUCUGACGGUACCCAAAGAAUAAGCACCGGCUAACUUCGUG
Molecule: ribosomal RNA, 491 nt
Filed under: uncultured bacterium
Lineage: Bacteria
Description: partial 16S ribosomal RNA
Rfam family: Bacterial small subunit ribosomal RNA
Source: RNAcentral